GAGAGUUAAACAGUACGUGAAAUUGUUGAAAGGGAAACGAUUGAAGCCAGUCGUACCUUCGGGUAAUCAGCCUUUCGGGUGCGAUUCUGUGGAGUGUGAGGAGCUUAAACACCUUCAUGUUUUGCAUAUUCGUACUCUUGGGUGUACUUGCCCGUGUGGUUGGUUAACAUCAAUUUUGGUGGUCAUAAAAUGACUGGAGGAAUGUAGCUUCGAUCUCGUAUUGAAGUGUUAUAGCCUUCGGUAGAUGUGAUGAUCGAGAUUGAGGAUUGCAACGGAUACCCUUCGGGGCUACCUGUCUGAUCUCUGAUCGUUGCUCUGGUGCCGAAAGCUUGCUUACGGUUAUUGAAGUCGAUGGUCAAUAGGUUAGAACGGGUUAAAUUCGUUAAGGAUGUUGACGUAAUGGCUUUAAACGA
This 413-nucleotide ribosomal RNA is filed under the name uncultured Rhizophagus. Its description in RNAcentral is "partial 28S ribosomal RNA". Lineage: Eukaryota; Fungi; Glomeromycota; Glomeromycetes; Glomerales; Glomeraceae. The record is from RNAcentral.